Molecule: ribosomal RNA, 253 nt
Filed under: uncultured bacterium
Lineage: Bacteria
Description: partial 16S ribosomal RNA
Rfam family: Bacterial small subunit ribosomal RNA
Source: RNAcentral
GACAGAGGUGCCAAGCGUUAGGCGGAAUCACUGGGCUUAAAGCGUGUGUAGGUGGAUUUGUAAGUACCUUGUGAAAUCCCACGGCUCAACCGUGGAACUGCUGGGUAUACUGCCUGUCUUGAGUCAUCUAGGGGCGAGCGGAACAAAUGGUGGAGCGGUGAAAUGCGUAGAUAUCAUUUGGAACGCCAAUGGUGAAAACAGCUCGCUGGGGAUGUACUGACGCUGAGACACGAAAGCCAGGGGAGCAAACGGG